This 73-nucleotide transfer RNA is filed under the name Camelus bactrianus (Bactrian camel). It matches the Rfam family "tRNA". From Rfam's summary of the family: Transfer RNA (tRNA) molecules are approximately 80 nucleotides in length. Their secondary structure includes four short double-helical elements and three loops (D, anti-codon, and T loops). Further hydrogen bonds mediate the characteristic L-shaped molecular structure. tRNAs have two regions of fundamental functional importance: the anti-codon, which is responsible for specific mRNA codon recognition, and the 3' end, to which the tRNAs corresponding amino acid is attached (by aminoacyl-tRNA synthetases). tRNAs cope with the degeneracy of the genetic code in two manners: having more than one tRNA (with a specific anti-codon) for a particular amino acid; and 'wobble' base-pairing, i.e. permitting non-standard base-pairing at the 3rd anti-codon position. RNAcentral also lists the same sequence under 2 other names. The record is from Rfam by way of RNAcentral. Lineage: Eukaryota; Metazoa; Chordata; Mammalia; Artiodactyla; Camelidae.
GAGGAUAUAGCUCGAGCGGUAGAGCACAUGCUUGGCAUGCAUUAGGUCCUGGGUUCAAUCCCAAGUACCCUCU